UACGUAGGGGGCAAGCGUUGUCCGGAUUUAUUGGGCGUAAAGAGCGUGUAGGCGGUCUGGUAGGUCCGUUGUGAAAACUCGAGGCUCAACCUCGAGACGCCGAUGGAAACCAUCAGACUAGAGUCCGGAAGAGGAGAGUGGAAUUCCUGGUGUAGCGGUGAAAUGCGCAGAUAUCAGGAAGAACACCCGUGGCUAAGGCGGCUCUCUAGUACGGUACCGACGCUGAGACGCGAAAGCGUGGGGAGCGAACAGG
This 253-nucleotide ribosomal RNA is filed under the name uncultured bacterium. RNAcentral describes it as "partial 16S ribosomal RNA". It matches the Rfam family "Bacterial small subunit ribosomal RNA", at positions 524 to 776 of the family's 1533-position model. The record is from RNAcentral.